This 510-nucleotide ribosomal RNA is filed under the name uncultured bacterium. RNAcentral's name for it is "partial 16S ribosomal RNA". It matches the Rfam family "Bacterial small subunit ribosomal RNA", at positions 28 to 507 of the family's 1533-position model. The record is from RNAcentral.
GACGAACGCUGGCGGCGUGCUUAACACAUGCAAGUCGAACGAAGAGCGAUGGAAGCUUGCUUCUAUCAAUCUUAGUGCCGAACGGGUGAGUAACGCGUAAUCAACCUGCCCUUCAGAGGGGGACAACAGUUGGAAACGACUGCUAAUACCGCAUACGAUCUAAUCUCGGCAUCGAGGAUAGAUGAAAGGUGGCCUCUACAUGUAAGCUAUCACUGAAGGAGGGGAUUGCGUCUGAUUAGCUAGUUGGAGGGGUAACGGCCCACCAAGGCGAUGAUCAGUAGCCGGUCUGAGAGGAUGAACGGCCACAUUGGGACUGAGACACGGCCCAGACUCCUACGGGAGGCAGCAGUGGGGAAUCUUCCGCAAUGGACGAAAGUCUGACGGAGCAACGCCGCGUGAGUGAUGGCGGCCUUCGGGUUGUAAAGCUCUGUUAAUCGGGACGAAAGGCCUUCUUGCGAAUAGUGAGAAGGAUUGACGGUACCGGAAUAGAAAGCCACGGCUAACUACGUG